CGUCACCCCUAUAUACGCUGAAUCUUGAUUUGUGUUCAUGUCUGUCAUGGAUAUCCUAUAUACUCCUUUCUUCUCCUUCUCAUCCAGUUGGUCUUUAUCGUUCCUCAUAAGGGUAUAUAUAGGGGUGACGUCGGGGUCAUUGGGAGUGCAGCUGGACGAGCAUAGAAGUGACGUCUUGGAGGGGAGAGCGGGCACGGCCUUGGCGGCUGAAGCGUGUAGCGGCGGUCUCUGUGUGGGGUGGGAGGAGGCUAAUUGUGUUGAGUCGCUGGGGAGGCAUGUGAGGCCUACGAUGAUGGAAUCUUUGGGAGUUCUAGG
RNAcentral lists this long non-coding RNA (315 nucleotides) under Androctonus crassicauda. The record is from RNAcentral. Lineage: Eukaryota; Metazoa; Arthropoda; Arachnida; Scorpiones; Buthidae.